AGCAAAUGUGCCACGUCAAGACUGGAAAUCACAGCCCUUGAGUGUGUCUCAGUCAGCGCAGCAGAAUUCAGGGGGGAAAGCUGAAUGCAACCCCUGGUGCAGGAAGGGAGGCUUUUCCUGAGGACCGGGAGAGGAUUUUAAGUUUUGCACACUAGGGACCAAGAAGCCCUCGGGGACACUGCUGAGAAAAGACUGCCGAAGGGAAGACCAGCGGGAGAUAUACAAAUAUUUUAGGGAUCAUGGAAUCUAUUCCAGAGGAAACUAACCAACAGUGAGCAUCUUCAACUAAAACUACCCCUGGAUGUAAUAAGUGUAAGUAUUAAAAUUAAACAUUAUAUGUGGUCAUGAAGAGAAAAUUGUUUCAGGGUCUGUCCAAACUACACUUCAUAGAAAUUUCAUAAUUAUUUUUCAUUUUAGCAUGUGAAUGAUUGAUAAAUUGGACUAGGUACUGGGUUAAAAGGACUUUUCCACCAUCUAAGAGAAAGGAAGUUCAGAGCCUUAGCUUCAACACCACAAUUUCUUAACUGGAAAAGGAUCAAUCUAAAACGGUGGACUUAAAUUUUCAAACUCAUUUUUCUUUUAGGCCACAGAUCUCAAAAUCAAAGAAAGACUGUUUACUAUAGGACAAAGUUUCACACUGAUCACUUUCCUGUAGUUAGUCAAUAGGCUUAAUAUCCUUCCUGCUUGGCAUUCGGG
RNAcentral lists this long non-coding RNA (696 nucleotides) under Homo sapiens (human). RNAcentral's name for it is "PREDICTED lncRNA (TCONS_00021947)". The record is from RNAcentral. Lineage: Eukaryota; Metazoa; Chordata; Mammalia; Primates; Hominidae.